GACGAACGCUGGCGGCGUGCUUAACACAUGCAAGUCGAACGGAAAGGCCAUGCUUUUGUGGGGUGCUCGAGUGGCGAAGGGGUGAGUAACACGUGAGUAACAUGCACCUGACUUUGGGAUAACUUCAGGAAACUGGGGCUAAUACAGGAUAGGAGCUCCUGCUGCAUGGUGUGGGUUGGAAUGUUUCGGCCGUUGGGGCUGGACUCGCGGCUUAUCAGCUUGUUGGUCGGGUAGUGGCUUACCAAGGCUUUGACGGGUAGCCGGCCUGAGAGGGUGACCGGGCACAUUGGGACUGAGAUACGGCGCAGACUCCUACGGGAGGCAGCAGUGGAGAAUAUUGCACAAUGGGCCGGAGCCAGAUGCAGCAGCGCCGCGUGCGGGAUGACGGCCUUCGGGUUGUAAACCACUUUCGCCUGUAACGAAGCGUGAGUGACGGUAAUGGGUAAAAAAGCACCGGCUAACUACGUG
This 468-nucleotide ribosomal RNA is filed under the name uncultured bacterium. RNAcentral's name for it is "partial 16S ribosomal RNA". It matches the Rfam family "Bacterial small subunit ribosomal RNA", at positions 28 to 507 of the family's 1533-position model. The record is from RNAcentral.